Vigna radiata var. radiata (mung bean) is the source of this 606-nucleotide long non-coding RNA. RefSeq lists it as uncharacterized. NCBI's taxonomy places the organism in Eukaryota, Viridiplantae, Streptophyta, Magnoliopsida, Fabales, Fabaceae. The transcript is spliced from 2 exons. The record is from RefSeq and is a predicted model, not a curated record.
AUUUUAAAAUUGAUAAGGGUGAAAUUACUGAGGAGUUAAUCUGUAAAAAAAAAUGCUGACAUGGCAUUUAAUGUAAUAUUUGAAACUUUUCCCCUGACUUCUUCUUCUUCUCGCAUACUCAAUCCUGGGUGACUUCUUCUUCUCGCAGAAAGACCUAAUCUUGGGUGACUUCUUCUUCUUCUCAUAGAAAGACCCAAUCCUAGGCUGGGAUAUUUGGAGGUGACGACAACAGCGUGGAGAGGGCGCGACUCUGACGGCGUGGAGGGUGCGACUCUAACGGCAUCUUCGUAUUCUCCAGGUGGCUCGCAGCGGCGCGUUAGCCAUUCUUCUUCUUCUCCUUUCUUCUCGGAUCAGCUUCGUUUCACGUAAGGAAGAGAGGCCGACGCAACUUCGUCUCUGCAACGCGAUGGUCCCCGUUCGUGGGGGUGGCAGCAGUGGCGUCACCGCAAGGUUUCGACUCUGGCGACUUCGCAGUACAAGGGUGGCGGCGUAGUGAUUUGGGAUCCUUGAUUCUGCGAUUAGGGUUUUAGGAAUUGGGAAUCUGAUUUAGGGCAGCAGUUCCGCAACACUUUGGAAUUUUGGUAUAUUGAAAUUUGAUUCCUGCUA